Molecule: unclassified non-coding RNA, 350 nt
Filed under: Hevea brasiliensis (rubber tree)
Lineage: Eukaryota; Viridiplantae; Streptophyta; Magnoliopsida; Malpighiales; Euphorbiaceae
Source: RNAcentral
CUGCAGAAUAAGAAGAAAAAAGCUCAUCUCAAAAAAAUCACUGGAUUCCAGUUUGGGUGGGGAAGUUCAUCAAAGGUGCUCAUCACAUCAGCAGAUUCUCGAAUCCGAGUUAUUGAUGGUGUUGAUUUGGUUCACAAGUUCAAAGGGUUUCGUAACACCAACAGCCAAAUCUCAGCCUCCCUCACGGCAAAUGGGAAACAUGUAGUCUCUGCUAGUGAGGAUUCGUAUGUGUAUGUGUGGAAGCAUGAGUCUGAUUCUCGACCUUGCGGAAGCAAAGGGGUUACAGUCACGCAUUCGUACGAGCAUUUCCACUGUCAAGACGUGUCUGUGGCCAUCCCAUGGCCUGGUGU